Molecule: ribosomal RNA, 1372 nt
Filed under: uncultured bacterium
Lineage: Bacteria
Description: bacterial SSU rRNA
Rfam family: Bacterial small subunit ribosomal RNA
Source: RNAcentral
GAUGAACGCUUGCGGCGUGCCUAAUACAUGCAAGUCGAGCGAACAGACGAGGAGCUUGCUCCUUUGACGUUAGCGGCGGACGGGUGAGUAACACGUGGGUAACCUACCUAUAAGACUGGGAUAACUUCGGGAAACCGGAGCUAAUACCGGAUAAUAUUUCGAACCGCAUGGUUCGAUAGUGAAAGAUGGCCCUGCUAUCACUUAUAGAUGGACCUGCGCCGUAUUAGCUAGUUGGUAAGGUAACGGCUUACCAAGGCAACGAUACGUAGCCGACCUGAGAGGGUGAUCGGCCACACUGGAACUGAGACACGGUCCAGACUCCUACGGGAGGCAGCAGUAGGGAAUCUUCCGCAAUGGGCGAAAGCCUGACGGAGCAACGCCGCGUGAGUGAUGAAGGUCUUCGGAUCGUAAAACUCUGUUAUUAGGGAAGAACAAACGUGUAAGUAACUGUGCACGUCUUGACGGUACCUAAUCAGAAAGCCACGGCUAACUACGUGCCAGCAGCCGCGGUAAUACGUAGGUGGCAAGCGUUAUCCGGAAUUAUUGGGCGUAAAGCGCGCGUAGGCGGUUUUUUAAGUCUGAUGUGAAAGCCCACGGCUCAACCGUGGAGGGUCAUUGGAAACUGGAAAACUUGAGUGCAGAAGAGGAAAGUGGAAUUCCAUGUGUAGCGGUGAAAUGCGCAGAGAUAUGGAGGAACACCAGUGGCGAAGGCGACUUUCUGGUCUGUAACUGACGCUGAUGUGCGAAAGCGUGGGGAUCAAACAGGAUUAGAUACCCUGGUAGUCCACGCCGUAAACGAUGAGUGCUAAGUGUUAGGGGGUUUCCGCCCCUUAGUGCUGCAGCUAACGCAUUAAGCACUCCGCCUGGGGAGUACGACCGCAAGGUUGAAACUCAAAGGAAUUGACGGGGACCCGCACAAGCGGUGGAGCAUGUGGCUUAAUUCGAAGCAACGCGAAGAACCUUACCAAAUCUUGACAUCCUUUGACCCUUCUAGAGAUAGAAGUUUCCCCUUCGGGGGACAAAGUGACAGGUGGUGCAUGGUUGUCGUCAGCUCGUGUCGUGAGAUGUUGGGUUAAGUCCCGCAACGAGCGCAACCCUUAAGCUUAGUUGCCAUCAUUAAGUUGGGCACUCUAAGUUGACUGCCGGUGACAAACCGGAGGAAGGUAGGGAUGACGUCAAAUCAUCAUGCCCCUUAUGAUUUGGGCUACACACGUGCUACAAUGGACAAUACAAAGGGCAGCGAAACCGCGAGGUCAAGCAAAUCCCAUAAAGUUGUUCUCAGUUCGGAUUGUAGUCUGCAACUCGACUACAUGAAGCUGGAAUCGCUAGUAAUCGUAGAUCAGCAUGCUACGGUGAAUACGUUCCCGGGUCU